RNAcentral lists this ribosomal RNA (1446 nucleotides) under uncultured Bordetella sp. RNAcentral's name for it is "partial 16S-23S ribosomal RNA intergenic spacer". It matches the Rfam family "Bacterial small subunit ribosomal RNA". Lineage: Bacteria; Pseudomonadati; Pseudomonadota; Betaproteobacteria; Burkholderiales; Alcaligenaceae. The record is from RNAcentral.
GUUCGAUUCUGGCUCAGAUUGAACGCUGGCGGGAUACUUUACACAUGCAAGUCGAGCAACUGGCACGGACUUCGGUCUGGUGGCGAGUGAACGGGUGAGUAAUGUAUCGGAACGUGCCUAGUAGCGGGGAUAACUACGCGAAAGCGUAGCUAAUACCGCAUACGCCCUUCGGGGAAAGCGGGGACCUUCGGGCCUCGCACUAUUAGAGCGGCCGAUAUCGGAUUAGCUAGUUGGUGGGGUAACGGCUCGCAAGCGGGCGUCGUAGCUGGUUUGAGAGGACGACCAGCCACACUGGGACUGGGACUUGGCCGAACUCCUACGGGAGGCAGCAGUGGGGAAUUUUGGACAAUGGGGGAAACCCUGAUCAGCCAUCCCGCGUGUGCGAUGAAGGCCUUCCGGGACGUAAAGCACUUUUGGCAGGAAAGAAACGGCGGGACCAUGCGUGCAACUGACGGUACCUGCAGAAUAAGCACCGGCUAACUACGUGCCAGCAGCCGCGGUAAUACGCGGGUCACAGGUCUUAAUCGGAAUUACUGGGCGUAAAGCGUGCGCAGGCGGUUCGGAAAGAAAGAUGUAGCAAUCCCAGAGCUUAACUUUGGAACUGCAUUUUAACUACCGAGCUAGAGUGUGUCGGUGGAAUUCCGCGUGUAGCAGUGAAAUGCGUAGAUAUGCGGAGGAACACCGAUGGCGAAGGCAGCCUCCUGGGAUAACACUGACGUAUGCAGCGUGGGGAGCAAACAGGAUUAGAUACCCUGGUGGUCCACGCCCUAAACGUCAACUAGCUGUUGGGGGGCCUUCGGGCCUUGGUAGCGCAGCUAACGCGUGGUGACCGCCUGGGAGUACGGUCGCAAGAUUAAAACUCAAAGGAAUUGACGGGGACCCGCACAAGCGGUGGAUGAUGUGGAUUAAUUCGAUGCAACGCGAAAAACCUUACCUACCCUUGACAUGUCUGGAAUCCCGAAGAGAUUUGGGAGUUGCUCGCAAGAGAACCGGAACACAGGUGCUGCAUGGCUGUCGUCAGCUCGUGUCGUGAGAUGUUGGGUUAAGUCCCGCAACGAGCGUAACCCUUGUCGUGGAUUGCUACGAGAAAGGGCACUCUAAUGAGACUGCCGGUGACAAACCGGAGGGAAGGUGGGGAUGAUCAGGAGUCCUCAUGGCCCUUAUGGGUAGGGCUUCACGUCGUACAAUGGUCGGGACAUGAGGUCGCCAACCCGCGAGGAGGCCAAUCCCAGAAACCCGAUCGUAGUCCGGAUCGCAGUCUGCAACUCGACUGCGUGAAGUCGGAAUCGCUAGUAAUCGCGGAUCGAGCAUGUCGCCGGUGAAUACGUUCCCGGGUCUUGUACACUGCCCGUCACACCAUGGGAGUAGUUGAAGUAGUUAGCUACAACCGUAGGAGGGCCGUUACCACGGUAAGUUCAUGACUGGGGUGAAGUCGUAACAAGGUAA